UUUCAAAAAGGAUUUGCAUCGCAAAAUAGGGAAUCCGUCGGAAGCCCUACGAUGGGCUAUUGCCUUGGGUUCGCUAUGGGGUUUUCCCCACGAACCCCGAGGUUUGCUAUGGGGUUCACUCCACGAACCCUGAGGUUUGAUUGGGUUCGCUCUGUGAAUCCCCUUCCGUACGUCGAAAUAGUUUGAUUUUUGUAAUAUUUUAAGAGCUUGUAGGCCAUUUCACCCCACCAAGUCAUUCUCAAUCCCUUGUGUAUGAGUGUAGAUCCUUAAAAAUGCUUUUACACCUCCGUAAAUCCAAAAUCAUCAUUCUAAAAGAAAGAGAGAAGAAAACUACCUUCGGUUUGAGUAUUCAAAGCUCAACGGUAAACUUUGAUUUAAAUUCUCUCCAUUAGUGUUACUGAUACAAGAAUAAUGGCCGCCUUAGCUUUCGAUGACAUCAUUCAAAGUCACUAUGUGAAGAAUCAAGCUUUGAUCACAUGGAUGGUAUGUGAUCAUACUUGGAGGGGAUGCAUUGAGCCUACCAUUGAUCAAACCCGAGUGUGGACGAUUGCUUGGAGCUUUGAAGGCUUAAGGACACUCUGGUUUUGACCACCUUUGUUGGUUCACGGUUUUGGUUCCCUUUAUUAAGGGCAUUUUGGUCACUUAGCCUUAGGGGCAUUUUGGACAAUUCAUAUUAUUUUCCAACACACCAAGGCCAGCCUUGGUCAUUAAGGGUAGUGUAGUCGUUUUUGGCUUCUUUUGUAAUAUACGAUAAGUAGGAUUUUCUUAGGUUUUAUCUCAUUAGUUUAUGAAAGAUGAAAGAUUGAAACAUUAAAAAUCCUCUCUUGAGAGUAGAACACUUAGUCUUAGUUAAGGCUUGGAAAAGCUAGUAUUGCUCUUUGCUUGGAAACGAUGGAUCUUGAGGUGAGUUGAUUCCCUUGGCGGUCGCCGUAAGAGUGCGGUUUCGAUUAUUACAUUCAUUAGGGGUUUUUGAGUUUAAUACACUCUUUAGUUCUUAAUCUUGUAAUAAUCUUGGUCUCACUAUCUAUCCUUUACUUUUGUUGUUGUCAUC
Capsicum annuum is the source of this 1051-nucleotide long non-coding RNA. RefSeq lists it as uncharacterized. The record is from RefSeq and is a predicted model, not a curated record. Lineage: Eukaryota; Viridiplantae; Streptophyta; Magnoliopsida; Solanales; Solanaceae. The transcript has 2 exons.